RNAcentral lists this non-coding RNA (79 nucleotides) under human gut metagenome. RNAcentral's name for it is "Cyclic di-GMP-I riboswitch". It matches the Rfam family "c-di-GMP-I riboswitch aptamer", at positions 6 to 83 of the family's 87-position model. From Rfam's summary of the family: GEMM was predicted in a large-scale screen for bacterial structured RNA regulatory elements. The record is from RNAcentral. RNAcentral also lists the same sequence under 1 other name.
UAAAAUAGUAAAAUAAACGAAAGUUUAUGACACAAAACCAAAGGUCUAAAAGUAUAUAUGCUUAUGAUGGCUAGGUUGC